CUACGGGAUGCACCAGUGAGGAAUAUUGCACAAUGGGGGGAACCCUGAUGCAGCAACGCCGCGUGGAGGAUGACGCAUUUCGGUGUGUAAACUCCUUUUAUAUGUCAAGAAAAUGACGGUAGCAUAUGAAUAAGCACCGGCUAACUCCGUGCCAGCAGCCGCGGUAUACGGAGGGUGCAAGCGUUACUCGGAAUCACUGGGCGUAAAGGACGCGUAGGCGGGUUGGAAAGUCAGGUGUGAAAUCCUACAGCUUAACUGUAGAACUGCACUUGAAACUUCUAAUCUAGAGUAUGGGAGGGGGAGAUGGAAUUAGUGGUGUAGGGGUAAAAUCCGUAGAUAUCACUAGGAAUACCUAAAGCGAAGGCGAUCUCCUGGAACAUUACUGACGCUAAGGCGUGAAAGCGUGGGGAGCAAACAGGAUUAGAUACCCGAGAGUC
Molecule: ribosomal RNA, 437 nt
Filed under: uncultured bacterium
Lineage: Bacteria
Description: partial 16S ribosomal RNA
Rfam family: Bacterial small subunit ribosomal RNA
Source: RNAcentral